RNAcentral lists this ribosomal RNA (253 nucleotides) under uncultured bacterium. RNAcentral's name for it is "partial 16S ribosomal RNA". It matches the Rfam family "Bacterial small subunit ribosomal RNA", at positions 524 to 776 of the family's 1533-position model. The record is from RNAcentral.
UACAGAGGUGGCAAGCGUUGUUCGGAAUUACUGGGCGUAAAGGGCGCGUAGGCGGCCAUCUAAGUCAGACGUGAAAUCCCCCGGCUUAACCUGGGAACUGCGUCUGAUACUGGACGGCUCGAGUUUGGGAGAGGGAUGUGGAAUUCCAGGUGUAGCGGUGAAAUGCGUAGAUAUCAGGAGGAACACCAGCGGCGAAGGCGGCAUCCUGGACUGGUCCUGACACUCAGGAGCGAAAGCGUGGGGAGCGAUCCGG